Molecule: transfer RNA, 72 nt
Filed under: Ictidomys tridecemlineatus (thirteen-lined ground squirrel)
Lineage: Eukaryota; Metazoa; Chordata; Mammalia; Rodentia; Sciuridae
Description: Spermophilus tridecemlineatus (thirteen-lined ground squirrel) tRNA
Rfam family: tRNA
About the family: Transfer RNA (tRNA) molecules are approximately 80 nucleotides in length. Their secondary structure includes four short double-helical elements and three loops (D, anti-codon, and T loops).
Source: Rfam by way of RNAcentral
AGGGUUGUGGCUCAGUGGUAGAGCGCUUGCCUCACAAGUGUGAAUUCCUGGGUUCGUUUCCCAGCACCACAU